Molecule: ribosomal RNA, 490 nt
Filed under: uncultured bacterium
Lineage: Bacteria
Description: partial 16S ribosomal RNA
Rfam family: Bacterial small subunit ribosomal RNA
Source: RNAcentral
AUUGAACGCUGGCGGCAGGCCUAACACAUGCAAGUCGAACGGUAACAGGAAGCAGCUUGCUGCUUCGCUGACGAGUGGCGGACGGGUGAGUAAUGUCUGGGAAACUGCCUGAUGGAGGGGGAUAAUUACUGGAAACGGUAGCUAAUACCGCAUAACGUCGCAAGACCAAAGAGGGGGACCUUAGGGCCUCUUGCCAUCGGAUGUUCCCAGAUGGGAUUAGCUAGUAGGUGGGGUAACGGCUCACCUAGGCGACGAUCCCUAGCUGGUCUGAGAGGAUGAACAGCCACACUGGAACUGAGACACGGUCCAGACUCCUACGGGAGGCAGCAGUAGGGAAUAUUGCUCAAUGGGCGCAAGCCUGAUGCAGCCAUGCCGCGUGUAUGAAGAAGGCCUUCGGGUUGUAAAAUACUUUCAGCGGGGAGGAAGGGAGUAAAGUUUAUCCAUUGGCUCAUUGACGUUACCCGCAGAAGAAGCACCGGCUAACUACGUG